AAAUUGAAGAGUUUGAUCAUGGCUCAGAUUGAACGCUGGCGGCAGGCCUAACACAUGCAAGUCGAACGGUAACAGGAAGCAGCUUGCUGCUUUGCUGACGAGUGGCGGACGGGUGAGUAAUGUCUGGGAAACUGCCUGAUGGAGGGGGAUAACUACUGGAAACGGUGGCUAAUACCGCAUAACGUCGCAAGACCAAAGAGGGGGACCUUCGGGCCUCUUGCCAUCAGAUGUGCCCAGAUGGGAUUAGCUUGUUGGUGAGGUAACGGCUCACCAAGGCGACGAUCCCUAGCUGGUCUGAGAGGAUGACCAGCCACACUGGAACUGAGACACGGUCCAGACUCCUACGGGAGGCAGCAGUGGGGAAUAUUGCACAAUGGGCGCAAGCCUGAUGCAGCCAUGCCGCGUGUAUGAAGAAGGCCUUCGGGUUGUAAAGUACUUUCAGCGGGGAGGAAGGUGUUGUGGUUAAUAACCGCAGCAAUUGACGUUACCCGCAGAAGAAGCACCGGCUAACUCCGUGCCAGCAGCCGCGGUAAUACGGAGGGUGCAAGCGUUAAUCGGAAUUACUGGGCGUAAAGCGCACGCAGGCGGUCUGUCAAGUCGGAUGUGAAAUCCCCGGGCUCAACCUGGGAACUGCAUUCGAAACUGGCAGGCUUGAGUCUUGUAGAGGGGGGUAGAAUUCCAGGUGUAGCGGUGAAAUGCGUAGAGAUCUGGAGGAAUACCGGUGGCGAAGGCGGCCCCCUGGACAAAGACUGACGCUCAGGUGCGAAAGCGUGGGGAGCAAACAGGAUUAGAUACCCUGGUAGUCCACGCCGUAAACGAUGUCUACUUGGAGGUUGUGCCCUUGAGGCGUGGCUUCCGGAGCUAACGCGUUAAGUAGACCGCCUGGGGAGUACGGCCGCAAGGUUAAAACUCAAAUGAAUUGACGGGGGCCCGCACAAGCGGUGGAGCAUGUGGUUUGAUUCGAUGCAACGCGAAGAACCUUACCUGGUCUUGACAUCCACAGAACUUUCCAGAGAUGGAUUGGUGCCUUCGGGAACUGUGAGACAGGUGCUGCAUGGCUGUCGUCAGCUCGUGUUGUGAAAUGUUGGGUUAAGUCCCGCAACGAGCGCAACCCUUAUCCUUUGUUGCCAGCGGUUAGGCCGGGAACUCAAAGGAGACUGCCAGUGAUAAACUGGAGGAAGGUGGGGAUGACGUCAAGUCAUCAUGGCCCUUACGACCAGGGCUACACACGUGCUACAAUGGCGCAUACAAAGAGAAGCGACCUCGCGAGAGCAAGCGGACCUCAUAAAGUGCGUCGUAGUCCGGAUUGGAGUCUGCAACUCGACUCCAUGAAGUCGGAAUCGCUAGUAAUCGUGGAUCAGAAUGCCACGGUGAAUACGUUCCCGGGCCUUGUACACACCGCCCGUCACACCAUGGGAGUGGGUUGCAAAAGAAGUAGGUAGCUUAACCUUCGGGAGGGCGCUUACCACUUUGUGAUUCAUGACUGGGGUGAAGUCGUAACAAGGUAACCGUAGGGGAACCUGCGGUUGGAUCACCUCCUUACCUUAAAGAA
RNAcentral lists this ribosomal RNA (1552 nucleotides) under Salmonella enterica subsp. enterica serovar Worthington. Its description in RNAcentral is "bacterial SSU rRNA". It matches the Rfam family "Bacterial small subunit ribosomal RNA". Lineage: Bacteria; Pseudomonadati; Pseudomonadota; Gammaproteobacteria; Enterobacterales; Enterobacteriaceae. The record is from RNAcentral.